This is a long non-coding RNA of Antechinus flavipes (yellow-footed antechinus), 467 nucleotides long. RefSeq lists it as uncharacterized. The transcript has 2 exons. The record is from RefSeq and is a predicted model, not a curated record. Lineage: Eukaryota; Metazoa; Chordata; Mammalia; Dasyuromorphia; Dasyuridae.
CCAGCAAACUGUGAAAAAAGCAAUUGCAAAGGAUGUCUUUAUGGCUGAUUUAUCUAUAACAUCAAGGUUUCAUCAAAAUACUGGGAGAAAAAAGUUGUGCCAUAAGCCAAGAUCUACAGUAUCAAGCUCACAAAUAUAAGGUCACUCUGCACAUUAUUUUUGACUCUUCAUAUUUGAUGCCAAAGGAAUAUGUGCUUUUUCAAAGCUAAAGUGCAUUAAAAUCAAUUGUGACUAUAUGCAGGAGUGGGUAGAUGGAACUCCUUGUUAGCUUGGCUAAUUAAGACAGCCUGAUCACAAGGAGUCAAGAAGUACCCUAAAUGAAGAUCAAGGAAGCAGCUGUACAUAAUUUUGAUUUUUAUGUAAUAAAAUUCAGAAGCUUUUAUAGCACAAAGAUAUGCUUCUUUUUUAUGAAGAAUGAUCUCAACUAACAUCAGCGAAUAAAGUUGAAAAAUUAAUCAAAUAAACAA